Non-coding RNA from Pantherophis guttatus, 2701 nucleotides. The record is from RefSeq and is a predicted model, not a curated record. Lineage: Eukaryota; Metazoa; Chordata; Lepidosauria; Squamata; Colubridae.
UAAGUGCAUUGCUCAUUAAGUGAGUCCCUCAUUCACUUUGCUCAUCAGAAGCCGGCAGCAAAAGUCGCUUAACCUGUGGCCAGAACCGUCUUAAAACAGGGCAAAAUUCAUCUAGCAACCGUCUCACUUAGCAGUGGAAAUUUGGGGCUCCAUUUAUGGCCAUAAGUCGAGGACUCCCUGAACUCCACUCAAACUAUUCUGGGUGGGGAAUUCUGGGAGCUGAAGUCCACUCUUUCUAGAAGUGCCAAAUUUGCCCCCAAAACUGGGAGUCCCUGGGGGGCUGAUCCAGUUGGAGAAAAAGCCAAGAGAACUUAAAUUUUGGUGGCUGAACAAAUAGACUUUGACCCUUUCUAACCAUGCAAGAGAGACACGAUCACCUCCUUUCUUGACUAACUGAUUAUUUGUCUUUUUUUUUCUUUUUCAGAAAGAACAACGUGAGUAGCCAUUUCUUCCUUCCUGCCUACAGUUCUUUGCUGCGUAACCACCAGUCCUGCUGUGAGGUUCCCUUUUCAGGGUGGAUGAGGAAAGGGCACAGUUGAUCCUGGCCUGGCCACUUUCUCUCUGAUUUUAUUCCACUGAUAAAAAGUGGGAGACCCUGGUUCAUUAAAAAAAAAAAGCAAAGUACAGGUAGUCCUUGAGUUACGACCAUUUGCUUACUGACCGUUUGAAGCUGGUUCUCAUACUUCCUUGCUAUAACGUGGCCACGACGUUUGGGUGCUUAUAUUUAUGACGGGUGCACCAUCCUGGAAGUGCUGUGAAUACCAUUUGUGAAGUCGAUGGAGAAGUUGGCAAGGAAGGUCACGUGUUGUGUCUCGCUUAAUGACUGCAUUGCUUAGUGACCAAUUUUCCAGGCCUUAUUGUGGUUGUAACUGGAGGACUACCUGUACAGUAAGUGAAAAGCCAUGAAACAAAAACAAUCAAAAUUAAUAUUCAAACAAUAAAUCGGUGUUCCCCAGCUUUCAGCCCCUGGGAAUUAUGGGAUAUAAAUUCCCAGAAUCCUCCAAUGGACCAUUUCCAGAACUCUCUAAUUGGAGAAGACAUGUGGGAGUUGACAUCCACCCAACUUAAAGUGUGCUGACCAAGGAAUUCUGGGAGUUGUAGUCCAUCCCCCCUAAAGCAUUCUGAACAGGGAAUUCUGGGAGUUGAAGUCCACCUGUAUUAAAGCAUUCUGAACAGGGAAUUCUGGGAGUUGCAGUCCAUCCCCCCUAAAGCAUUCUGAACAGGGAAUUCUGGGAGUUGUAGUCCAUCCCCCCUAAAGCAUUCUGAACAGGGAAUUCUGGGAGUUGUAGUCCACCUGUAUUAAAGCAUUCUGAACAGGGAAUUCUGGGAGUUGAAGUCCAUCCUUAAAGCAUUCUGAACAGGGAAUUCUGGGAGUUGCAGUCCAUCCCUCUUAAAGCAUUCUGAACAGGGAAUUCUGGGAGUUGCAGUCCAUCCCUCCUAAAGCAUUCUGAACAGGGAAUUCUGGGAGUUGCAGUCCAUCCUUAAAACAUUCUGAACAGGGAAUUCUGGGAGUUGAAGUCCACCCAUCUGGAAAUUUGCCAGGGUUGAGAAACAUUUUCCUAAUUCUCUCGUCUCCCCCUUCUCCAAUCUUUUCCAGAAGUUCCAGUAAGAAGGUCAUUUACAGCCAGCCUUCCAACCGAAGCGACGGUGACUUUAAACAAACUUCUUCCUUCCUGGUCUGAUCGUGGCUUACGGACUUCGUGUUUUAAACUCUCUGCCCGGCUCAGGACUGCUGUAAAUGUUCUCGGUGGAUCUUUGUAAUUAAGUGUGAUUUUUAUUCAGUGGUUUUUUUUUUUUUUGUUAAGAUAUAUAUAUAUAAAUAUAUGUAUAUGUAUAAAAUAAUAGUUUGCCUUUUAAACGUAUUUUUUUAAACAGUUGCUAUUUAAAAAGGCUGUGCUUCCAUGCCUUCCUUUCAGGGUAUUUUCAUCGUUUAGGAUCGUGAGACUUUUGAGUUCUGGUACAAAAUGAUUGAAUUCCGUAGUGUGCCUAAUUUUUUUAAGGCUGAUCUGUCACUCAAAUUCAGUUUGAGGUAGUUAUGAGUUUUAAGGACAGAGGUUAAGUGGACUCAGUUGCAUUUCUGUCCUCCCAAAAUCAGUCAUAACCAAACCUUGGUAACUUUUAAGAUGUGUGGACUUCCAACUCUCAGAAUUCUGGGAGUUGAAAUCCACUCAUCUUAAAGUUGCCAUGGUUGAGAAACACUGAUCAUCAUCAUCAUCAUCAUCAUCAUCAUCAUCAUCAUCAUCAUCUUUUAACGACCCCAUAAUCCCUUGUGGGGUGGAGUCUGGGCAGCCGAAUGGAGCUAGCAGAGUGUUCGAAUGGCCGGAUGCCUUUCCUGUCGCCAAUGAGGAGUUUUGUUCAGCAGAUAUAUUCUCAUUGUGCCCAGAGAGAAAAAUUUCUGCCUCUACCUAGGAUCGAACUCACAGCCCCUGCCAAAUUUGAACAAGAAACCAAGUCCUGCAUUUUUGCAUUUAAUUGUGUAGCAGAUAGAAUAGCCACAAUGCAUCUUCUGUCCAUCAAGGAAGUUGUGCUGAAGGACGAUUGUUAAACCGCUCUUCCUUAGGGAGAGAGUUAGACAUGCUAAAAUUACUCCAGCUGUCUUAACAAUAUUUGCCUUUAUUAAUAUUACGAUAUUGUUAUACGGUUUUUUAAAAAAAAAAAAAUGCUGGACACUGAACUGGAAAUAAACUUUUGAUUCAACAAA